Molecule: ribosomal RNA, 274 nt
Filed under: uncultured bacterium
Lineage: Bacteria
Description: partial 16S ribosomal RNA
Rfam family: Bacterial small subunit ribosomal RNA
Source: RNAcentral
AUACGGAGGAUGCAAGCGUUGUCCGGAUUUAUUGGGUUUAAAGGGUGUGUAGGCGGUGUAUUAAGUCAGUGGUGAAAGCCUGCGGCUCAACCGUAGAACUGCCAUUGAUACUGACACACUUGAGUAUGGACGAGGUAGGCGGAAUUUAUGGUGUAGCGGUGAAAUGCAUAGAUACCAUAAAGAACACCGAUAGCGAAGGCAGCUUACUAGGCCAUAACUGACGCUGAGGCACGAAAGCGUGGGGAGCGAACAGGAUUAGAAACCCGGGUAGUCC